RNAcentral lists this ribosomal RNA (1143 nucleotides) under uncultured Candidatus Saccharibacteria bacterium. RNAcentral describes it as "bacterial SSU rRNA". It matches the Rfam family "Bacterial small subunit ribosomal RNA", at positions 8 to 1191 of the family's 1533-position model. The record is from RNAcentral. Lineage: Bacteria; Candidatus Saccharimonadota.
AGAGUUUGAUCCCUGGCUCAGGAUGAAUGCUGGCGGCGUGCCUAACACAUGCAAGUCGAGCGGCAGCGAGGGGUGCUUGCACCCUGUCGGCGAGCGGCGGACGGCUGAGUAACGCGUGGGAAUCUACCCUAAAGUGAGGGAUAACCGCCCGAAAGGGUGGCUAAUACCGCAUAUGAUCUUCGGAUUAAAGGAUUUAUCCGCUUUAGGAAGAGCCCGCGUUAGAUUAGGUAGUUGGUAGGGUAAUGGCCUACCAAGCCAACGAUCUAUAGCUGGUCUGAGAGGAUGAUCAGCCAGACUGGAACUGAGACACGGUCCAGACUCCUACGGGAGGCAGCAGUGAGGAAUCUUCCACAAUGGGCGAAAGCCUGAUGGAGCAACGCCGCGUGAAGGAUGAAGGCCUUCGGGUUGUAAACUUCUUUUAUGAGUGAAGAAUAUGACGGUAACUCAUGAAUAAGCACCGGCUAACUACGUGCCAGCAGCCGCGGUCAUACGUAGGGUGCAAGCAUUAUCCGGAGUGACUGGGCGUAAAGAGUUGCGUAGGCGGUUUAGUAAGUGAAUAGUGAAACCUGGUGGCUCAACCAUACAGACUAUUAUUCAAACUGUUAAACUCGAGAGUGGUAGAGGUAACUGGAAUUUCUAGUGUAGGAGUGAAAUCCGUAGAUAUUAGAAGGAACACCAAUGGCGUAGGCAGGUUACUGGACCAUUUCUGACGCUAAGGCACGAAAGCGUGGGGAGCGAACUGGAUUAGAUACCCAGGUAGUCCACGCCGUAAACGAUGGAUACUAGCUGUUGGAGGUAUCGACCCCUUCAGUAGCGAAGCUAACGCGUUAAGUAUCCCGCCUGUGGAGUACGGCCGCAAGGCUAAAACAUAAAGGAAUUGACGGGGACCCGCACAAGCGGUGGAUCAUGUUCUUUAAUUCGAUGAUAAACGAAGAACCUUACCAGGGUUUGACAUCCCGAGAAGAUUUACGAAAGUAAAUUGUGCCUUUUGGAACUCGGUGACAGAUGAUGCAUGGCCGUCGUCAGCUCGUGUCGUGAGGUGUUUGGUUAAGUCCAUCAACGAGCGCAACCCUUGUGUCUAGUUGUAUUUUUCUAGACAGACUGCUUCGGUAACGGAGAGGAAGGAGGGGAUGAUGUCAGGUC